UCGCUCCUACCGAUUGAGUGAUCCGGUGAAUAAUUCGGACUGCAGCAUAGUUCAGCUUCUGAACAUUGCUGCGGGAAGUUUGGUGAACCUUAUCACUUAGAGGAAGGAG
RNAcentral lists this ribosomal RNA (109 nucleotides) under uncultured eukaryote. RNAcentral describes it as "partial small subunit ribosomal RNA". It matches the Rfam family "Eukaryotic small subunit ribosomal RNA", at positions 1676 to 1785 of the family's 1831-position model. The record is from RNAcentral.